This 253-nucleotide ribosomal RNA is filed under the name uncultured bacterium. RNAcentral's name for it is "partial 16S ribosomal RNA". It matches the Rfam family "Bacterial small subunit ribosomal RNA", at positions 524 to 776 of the family's 1533-position model. The record is from RNAcentral.
UACGUAGGGACCGAGCGUUGUCCGGAUUCAUUGGGCGUAAAGAGCUCGUAGGCGGCUGCUCAAGUCGAAUGUGAAAACUCGAGGCUCAACCUCGAGCCUGCAUUCGAUACUGGGCGGCUAGAGUCUGGUAGGGGGAUCUGGAAUUCCUGGUGUAGCGGUGAAAUGCGUAGAUAUCAGGAGGAACACCGGUGGCGAAGGCGGCUAUCUGGACAGAAACUGACGCUGAGGCGCGAAAGCUAGGGGAGCAAACAGG